AACGAACGCUGGCGGCAUGCCUAACACAUGCAAGUCGAACGAGACCUUCGGGUCUAGUGGCGCACGGGUGCGUAACGCGUGGGAACCUGCCCUUAGGUUCGGAAUAACUCCCCGAAAGGGGUGCUAAUACCGGAUAAUGUCUUCGGACCAAAGAUUUAUCGCCUUUGGAUGGGCCCGCGUUGGAUUAGCUUGUUGGUAGGGUAAAAGCCUACCAAGGCGACGAUCCAUAGCUGGUCUGAGAGAAUGAUCAGCCACACUGGGACUGGGACACGGUCCAGACUCCUACGGGAGGCAGGAGUGGGGAAUAUUGGACAAUGGGCGAAAGCCUGAUCCAGCAAUGCCGCGUGAGUGAUGAAGGCCUUAGGGUUGUAAAGCUCUUUUACCCGGGAUGAUAAUGACAGUACCGGGAGAAUAAGCUCCGGCUAACUCCGUG
RNAcentral lists this ribosomal RNA (433 nucleotides) under uncultured bacterium. RNAcentral describes it as "partial 16S ribosomal RNA". It matches the Rfam family "Bacterial small subunit ribosomal RNA", at positions 29 to 507 of the family's 1533-position model. The record is from RNAcentral.